UCUCUGCUGAUUUCCUAGAUAUGUCUUAAAGACAGGGCUGCUUAUUUACGGACAGAUGUUCUGCAUUCAUAUUCACUCCUUGAGCUUUCACGUUUCAGGGGAAGAUUUCCUUAAAGAAAAUCUCAGUAUAGCUACUGAGGCAAAAUGAUGGAUGUUCCUCCUUUGGACUGGAAUUAUACAACGUAAUAAGUGGAAUUAUACAACGUAAUAAGUUCAAUGCUCAUUAAACGAACCCGACCAGAGUACGGCCGGUAGACAAAAUCAAAGCAGGUCCCAACAUAAAGAAACAGAUUCUCCUCCUGAAAGUCCCCCACCUUCUGUGUCCCUCCUUUCCACGAAUACCCUUUACCUUGGGACAAGAGGACACGGUUUGGGCUCUGAAGUGAUGCACUUAGAACGCAUCUCAUUGUAGGCAUGAAAACUAUUUGAAAUCUAGCUUAACCUCUUUGCCGUGGUGCUGCUUUAUAAAUUCAACAACAACAAAAUAGAAAAACACAAAGACAUUUAUUACCUGGAGGAUUAUUCAGAGGGGAAAAAAAGAGGGGAGAGGAGAGAGCAACAGCUCCUUUAUUUCUAAAAUAAUCAAAGAACUUUAGAGAAAGGUAAAGAUUAAUAAUAUUCCCUCCUCUCGUCCUCCCAACCCAUGCCGCCCGCCCCUAGCAACAUGGACUCCUGAUGUGAAUUUUGUUAAGUUUGUGUCCUAAGUAGAGUUUCGGAACAAAAAGCUCUCUCCGUGGCUCACAGAAGGAAAGCCGGGCUUGCGGGGCGCCUCUCCUCGGGGUGCAGGCGGGACCUGCCCGCAGCGAACCGCUCCCCAGACCCUGCGCCCCCGGCCGGCCCAGCGACGGCUGCAGCCAGACGUCUCGCCGGUCCUUUCGGAUCAGGACCUUGUGGACAAGCUGCGCGCGACGCAGACUUCCUGGGCGCACCGCCACCUGGUGCGCAACUCGGGGAAGGACCACCCUCCGGGCCACAGGCCUGGGAGAGCGGAGAGGGACCGCGCUGCGGGGCCAGGCUGAGUCUCCGCCCCAGAGCCCUAGGCGAAGUCACCUACAACCGCGAAUGGGCGCGCACAGCUGACACAUUACCUCGAGCAAGGUGACGCCCAGGGCAUCUGAAGACAUCUGCGGAAAAGCCUCAAAGACCACGUGAGAUUACGUCAUCUUUUCGGUCCCCAGCAUCAGAGUCCCCCCCCCCUCCAUGGGCCCUUCUUACAAAGUCACAAUUAAACAUUUUCUUACCUUCGCGGUUGCUCUCUAAGAUCACAAAACCUCAUGAAUGCACGCUUUAUUAACAAAGUUCAAAUAUAAUAGGCAUUUAAAAUACUUACUGUUAUUCUAUUAA
This is a non-coding RNA of Microcebus murinus (gray mouse lemur), 1344 nucleotides long. NCBI's taxonomy places the organism in Eukaryota, Metazoa, Chordata, Mammalia, Primates, Cheirogaleidae. The record is from RefSeq and is a predicted model, not a curated record.